This 26-nucleotide non-coding RNA is filed under the name Cricetulus griseus (Chinese hamster). Lineage: Eukaryota; Metazoa; Chordata; Mammalia; Rodentia; Cricetidae. The record is from RNAcentral.
AUUGAUGAGUUGGGAAAUGGACUGCC